Molecule: small nuclear RNA, 61 nt
Filed under: Canis lupus familiaris (dog)
Lineage: Eukaryota; Metazoa; Chordata; Mammalia; Carnivora; Canidae
Also listed under: 2 other names
Description: U4 spliceosomal RNA
Rfam family: U4 spliceosomal RNA
About the family: U4 small nuclear RNA (U4 snRNA) is a component of the major U2-dependent spliceosome. The structure of U4 snRNA from yeast and human has been reported.
Source: Rfam by way of RNAcentral
UGCUUUGCGCAGUGGCAGUAUCCCAGCCAAUGAGGUUUAUCCGAGGCACGAUUAUUGCUGA